This 523-nucleotide ribosomal RNA is filed under the name uncultured bacterium. RNAcentral describes it as "partial 16S ribosomal RNA". It matches the Rfam family "Bacterial small subunit ribosomal RNA", at positions 355 to 893 of the family's 1533-position model. The record is from RNAcentral.
UGGGGAAUAUUGGACAAUGGGGGCAACCCUGAUCCAGCAAUGCCGCGUGUGUGAAGAAGGUCUUCGGAUUGUAAAGCACUUUCGACGGGGACGAUGAUGACGGUACCCGUAGAAGAAGCCCCGGCUAACUUCGUGCCAGCAGCCGCGGUAAUACGAAGGGGGCUAGCGUUGCUCGGAAUGACUGGGCGUAAAGGGCGUGUAGGCGGUUUACACAGUCAGAUGUGAAAUCCCCGGGCUUAACCUGGGAGCUGCAUUUGAUACGUGUAGACUAGAGUGUGAGAGAGGGUUGUGGAAUUCCCAGUGUGGAGGUGAAAUUCGUAGAUAUUGGGAAGAACACCGGUGGCGAAGGCGGCAACCUGGCUCAUGACUGACGCUGAGGCGCGAAAGCGUGGGGAGCAAACAGGAUUAGAUACCCUGGUAGUCCACGCUGUAAACGAUGUGUGCUAGAUGUUGGGUAACUUUGUUAUUCAGUGUCGCAGUUAACGCGUUAAGCACACCGCCUGGGGGAGUACGGGCCGCAAGG